This 569-nucleotide ribosomal RNA is filed under the name uncultured bacterium. RNAcentral describes it as "bacterial SSU rRNA". It matches the Rfam family "Bacterial small subunit ribosomal RNA", at positions 37 to 658 of the family's 1533-position model. The record is from RNAcentral.
UGGCGGCAGGCUAACACAUGCAGUCGAGCGCCCCGCAAGGGAGCGGCAGACGGGAUAGUAACACGUGGGAACGUACCCUUCAGUUCGGAACAACCAAGGGAAACUUUGGCUAAUACCGAAUACGUCCGGUAAGGAGAAAGAUUUAUCGCUGAAGGAUCGGCCCGCGUCUGAUUAGCUAGUUGGUGAGGUAAUGGCUCACCAAGGCGACGAUCAGUAACUGGUCUGAGAGGAUGAUCAGCAUCACUGGGACUGAGACACGGCCCAGACUCCUGCGGGAGGCAGCAGUGGGGAAUAUUGGACAAUGGGCGCAAGCCUGAUCCAGCCAUGCCGCGUGGAUGAUGAAGGCCCUAGGGUUGUAAAGUCCUUUCGGCGGGGAAGAUAAUGACGGUACCCGCAGAAGAAGCCCCGGUAACUUCGUGCCAGCAGCCGCGGUAAUACGAAGGGGGCUAGCGUUGCUCGGAAUCACUGGGCGUAAAGCGCACGUAGGCGGACUCUUAAGUCGGUGGUGAAAUCCUGGAGCUCAAUCCAGAACUGCUUCGAUACUGAGAGUCUCCGAGUCCGAGAGAGGU